GCACCAUUAGCUCAGUUGGUAGAGCAACUGACUCUUAAUCAGUGGGUCCACGGUUCGAGUCCGUGAUGGUGUACCA
This 76-nucleotide transfer RNA is filed under the name Paludihabitans sp. RNAcentral describes it as "tRNA-Lys". It matches the Rfam family "tRNA". From Rfam's summary of the family: Transfer RNA (tRNA) molecules are approximately 80 nucleotides in length. Their secondary structure includes four short double-helical elements and three loops (D, anti-codon, and T loops). The record is from RNAcentral. Lineage: Bacteria; Bacillati; Bacillota; Clostridia; Eubacteriales; Oscillospiraceae. RNAcentral also lists the same sequence under 1 other name.